CGACAGCACCAAUCAUAUGGCGCCAACGGUCAGCGGGGCUCGUGGCUUCUGGCUCGCGCUCGCGCUCGCCUCGAGCGUCCCGACCAGCCAGCGUUCUUCUGACGUGGCCAUCGAACGAGCACGGACGUGUCCGCAGCUGCUCAAGCACUCACGCUGGUGGCGUGGGUUGUUCCAGGUUGCAGGCAACGUAUCCGAGGAGGGUAUGGAGUUCUGACUACUGACCGCCUGGAACAACUUCGCGUUCUGAGAACGGGGACCGGCAAGAGACGCAGCUCCGAUCUCCCAGCCAGGUCGUCGCGACGGGAACCGAGAGCGUCACGAGAUGCCGGGUCAUGGUGUACACGGUUGCAGGCAACAUAUCCGAGGAGGGUAUGGAGUUCUGACUACUGACCGCCUGGAACAACUUGGCGUUCUGAGAACGGGGACCGGCAAGAGACGCAGCUCCGAUCUCCCAGCCAGGUCGUCGCGAAGGGAACCGAGAUCGUCACGAGAUGCCGGGUCAUGGUGUACACGGUUGCAGGCAACGUAUCCGAGGAGGGUAUGGAGUUCUGACUACUGACCGCCUCGAACAACUUCGCGUUCUGAGAAAGGGGACCGGCAACAGACGCAGCUCCGAUCUGCCAGCCAGGUCGUCGCGACGGGAACCGAGAGCGUCACGAGAUUCUGGGUCAUGGUUAUCAUGUUGGCCGACCUCGACACCACCGGGUUCAACAUAACUAACUGCAAGACGAUGGAGGGGUGGUCAUUGGUCAACCGAAGUGGCAAUCAAUCGCGUGCCGCGGUGGAUUCAUGUGCUCCUCGGUGACGCAGUCAACGCUGCCUGCCUGCUGUCUCAAGGGACUGUCCACUGACUGAGAUUGACUUGGUACUCUGCCUGUGGCAACCAGUCGCGUGCUCCGCCGUCGUGCAGUCCCAUGGUGGCCACUUCUGCGCCUCUAUUGUGGCCAGUGGGCAGCGGCCAACCGUUCAUCCCGGGGCUUGUGCACUGUUCUGUAUUUGAUGCUUCGAUGGUAUCUUUCCUGCAUUCGGCUACAAUGGCUUUUUCUCAGCGGUGCACAGUGCCUGUUCGGGUCCGGAGGGGCAUACUUGCCGCCCAUCCAUCCCGGGGACUGUGUGCUGUGCUGUACUUCAUGCAUCCCGAUGGUAUCUUCCCUGCAUCGGGAUACAAUGGCUUUUUCUCAGCGGUGCUCAGCGCGUGUUCGGUCCGGAUGGCGUGGGGUACUGCGCAUGGCAUCCACCUCCGCGGACUGAAUGCGGUCAGCCCGGAAAUGAAGGGGACGAGUCGGCGUUGAGCAAAGCGAGCGCAUGCUCCUUCCAGGCAAGUGUCGCCUAG
Dermacentor silvarum is the source of this 1333-nucleotide RNA transcript. RefSeq lists it as uncharacterized. The transcript has 8 exons. Lineage: Eukaryota; Metazoa; Arthropoda; Arachnida; Ixodida; Ixodidae. The record is from RefSeq and is a predicted model, not a curated record.